GUAGCUUCCUUGUCGUGUGGCCUCAGUCCUUCGCCGUCCCUCGCCGUCCUUCGCCAUCGCACGCCACCGCACCCCAUCUCUCGAAAUCUGCAGACAUCUUGAUUUUUCCCACGCUGUCUGUCAGGUCUCCGCCGCCACUCGACGCCAGGGCGCCGGGUGAGUCCACAGCAGGGCGCAUGGUCGGCUCCACUCUCACCAUCGGGGGAAACUGAGGCCCCGGGGAAGGCGGCCAGAGAGGUCAGGCCCUGUCCUUGGUGCAGUGUCUCGUCCUCUUUGCCGGAGUGAGCCCCCCAGGAUUCGCGUGUCCUCGGGAAAGACACUGGCAGGCCUUGUGGGCUGUGCUGCACCUCGGACGGCUUCGCACCAGCCAGCGCCCUCUCUCUCCUGCAGCACUCUGAUCUGCACCCCCUGAGGGGCUUCCACUGUCCGCGGGGUGAGAAUGCCCCUGGGAGUGUCACAUGACUGCCGCCCCAUGUGUGUGAGAGGCGUCCUCUGGGAGAGCAUGGAUCCUGAGGUCCCAGGAUUGUCAGCUGACCUCUGUCCUGUGUGCCCAGUGGCCCCAGGUGACGUGUCUUCAAGAAGAGGCUGAGCUGCGGUGCUUGUAAGAGUCAUGUGCUGUUCCUGGGGCUUGGAUGAUGUAGGGGAAGCAAGGUGAAAGUGGUAUCCCGUGGUUCCACGUUCUGUCCUGCUGUGGGGCUGUCCCUCACAUGCUUUCAGUGGCUGUUGCAGAGGAAGAGCCUCCGGAAAUCUGCGUCUCAGCCUUAGAUCCAAGGACAGUCCAAGGAAGUCCUAAGACCAUGGAGUUGGUGAUCUGGGAUCUGGGUUUGCUGAUAUUUCUCACCGUGAAUCUCUUGGUGGUGUUUGUGGGCACGAGAGGGGCAGAGAAUGGAGAGUGAGGCUACCACAUGAAGCGUCACCAGAGCUGCUCCCUGCUGCCUGCUCAGAGCACCCCGGAUCCACUGUUCAAUCUGCACAAGAUUCGGGGUCCAGACAUGGGAGACUUCAGCUGCCUCAGAGGACCGUGGACAGGGAAGGCCAGCCUCGCAUCCCUCUGUCCAUGCCUGGAAUGACUUUAAUAACCAAGAGUUUUAUUUUUGAAUUUGUAGCUGUCGUUCACUUUUUACCCACCCAUUCAAUAAACCUUACAGAAUUGC
This 1154-nucleotide long non-coding RNA is filed under the name Homo sapiens (human). RNAcentral describes it as "HSALNT0400931". Lineage: Eukaryota; Metazoa; Chordata; Mammalia; Primates; Hominidae. The record is from RNAcentral.